Molecule: ribosomal RNA, 460 nt
Filed under: uncultured bacterium
Lineage: Bacteria
Description: partial 16S ribosomal RNA
Rfam family: Bacterial small subunit ribosomal RNA
Source: RNAcentral
CCUACGGGUGGCAGCAGUGAGGAAUAUUGGUCAAUGGACGAGAGUCUGAACCAGCCAAGUAGCGUGAAGGAUGACUGCCCCAUGGGUUGUAAACUUCUUUUAUAAAGGAAUAAAACGAGGCACGUGUGCCUUUUUGCAUGUACUUUAUGAAUAAGGAUCGGCUAACUCCGUGCCAGCAGCCGCGGUAAUACGGAGGAUCCGAGCGUUAUCCGGAUUUAUUGGGUUUAAAGGGAGCGUAGAUGGGUUGUUAAGUCAGUUGUGAAAGUUUGCGGCUCAACCGUAAAAUUGCAAUUGAUACUGGAAGUCUUGAGUACAGUUGAGGUAGGCGGAAUUCGUGGUGUAGCGGUGAAAUGCUUAGAUAUCACGAAGAACCCCGAUUGCGAAGGCAGCUUACUAAACUGUGACUGACAUUGAUGCUCGAAAGUGUGGGUAUCAAACAGGAUUAGAUACCCGUGUAGUC